RNAcentral lists this ribosomal RNA (253 nucleotides) under uncultured bacterium. Its description in RNAcentral is "partial 16S ribosomal RNA". It matches the Rfam family "Bacterial small subunit ribosomal RNA", at positions 524 to 776 of the family's 1533-position model. The record is from RNAcentral.
GACAGAGGGUGCAAACGUUGUUCGGAAUUACUGGGCGUAAAGCGAGUGUAGGCGGUUUCGUAAGUCGGAUGUGAAAGCCCCGGGCUCAACCCGGGAAGUGCACUCGAUACUGCGAGGCUAGAGUACUGGAGAGGUUGGUGGAAUUCUCGGUGUAGAGGUGAAAUUCGUAGAUAUCGAGAGGAACACCGGUGGCGAAGGCGGCCAACUGGACAGAUACUGACGCUGAGACUCGAAAGCGUGGGGAGCAAACAGG